CCUACGGGCGGCAGCAGUGGGGAAUAUUGCACAAUGGGGGAAACCCAGAUGCAGCGACGCCGCGUGAGUGAAGAAGUAUUUCGGUAUGUAAAGCUCUAUCAGCAGGGAAGAAAAUGACGGUACCUGAUGAAGAAGCCCCGGCUAACUACGUGCCAGCAGCCGCAGUACUACGUAGGGGGCAAGCGUUAUCCGGAUUUACUGGGUGUAAAGGGAGCGUAGGCGGUGGCACAAGUCUGUAGUGAAAUGCCGGGGCUUAACCCCGGAACUGCUUGGGAAACUGUGCAGCUAGAGUGCAGGAGAGGCAAGUGGAAUGCGUAGUGUAGCGGUGAAAUGCGUAGAUAUUAGGAGGAACACCAGUGGCGAAGGCGGCUUACUGGACUGUAACUGACGUUGAGGCUCGAAAGCGUGGGGAGCAAACAGGAUUAGAUACCCCAGUAGUC
RNAcentral lists this ribosomal RNA (440 nucleotides) under uncultured bacterium. RNAcentral describes it as "partial 16S ribosomal RNA". It matches the Rfam family "Bacterial small subunit ribosomal RNA", at positions 338 to 795 of the family's 1533-position model. The record is from RNAcentral.